This 496-nucleotide ribosomal RNA is filed under the name uncultured bacterium. RNAcentral's name for it is "partial 16S ribosomal RNA". It matches the Rfam family "Bacterial small subunit ribosomal RNA", at positions 28 to 506 of the family's 1533-position model. The record is from RNAcentral.
GAUGAACGCUGGCGGCGUGCCUAAUACAUGCAAGUCGAGCGAACGGACGAGAAGCUUGCUUCUCUGAUGUUAGCGGCGGACGGGUGAGUAACACGUGGAUAACCUACCUAUAAGACUGGGAUAACUUCGGGAAACCGGAGCUAAUACCGGAUAAUAUUUUGAACCGCAUGGUUCAAAAGUGAAAGACGGUCUUGCUGUCACUUAUAGAUGGAUCCGCGCUGCAUUAGCUAGUUGGUAAGGUAACGGCUUACCAAGGCAACGAUGCAUAGCCGACCUGAGAGGGUGAUCGGCCACACUGGAACUGAGACACGGUCCAGACUCCUACGGGAGGCAGCAGUAGGGAAUCUUCCGCAGUGGGCGAAAGCCUGACGGAGCAACGCCGCGUGAGUGAUGAAGGUCCUCGGAUCGUAAAACUCUGUUAUUAGGGAAGAACAUAUGUGUAAGUAACUGUGCACAUCUUGACGGUACCUAAUCAGAAAGCCACGGCUAACUACGU